Molecule: long non-coding RNA, 518 nt
Organism: Sceloporus undulatus (fence lizard)
Lineage: Eukaryota; Metazoa; Chordata; Lepidosauria; Squamata; Phrynosomatidae
Exons: 3
Source: RefSeq, a predicted model, not a curated record
UUUGUAGUUGGCGUAUGUUGGAAGUGUGUAUGUGAGUUUGCUCCAUGCAGACUGAAGAUGCCAGACUCCCACUAUGCAGCAAAAUUACUUACCGUCAUCUAUUUCAGGGUAUCCCAUUAUUGUCAUUGAGUAGUUGGGAAAAGAUGCAGAGCUGCCAGGGAGAUGGCUGUGUUUUAGCACCUGGCAUGGAGAGCGGGAGCAUUUUCUUGGACCACCCAGAAGUCUUCCAGAAGAUGUUAUAUCCCUGUGGUUGGCUGCUGAAACUCAACCAGCUGCUUCCUUUCCCUUGAUCACUACAUGGAUGUGGACAGAAUACCCCACAAGUAAAGUGUGCAUCCUGAGCAAUGCAAGUAAAACACUGAGGUCACUGGAGGAAGAAGAGGACAAAAGGAGAGGAGCUGAAUAGCAGCAGUGAUUACCUCCAGGGAAGCAGCAGAUAAUGAGCAGCGUAACUGCUAAACUGUUUCCCCAAAAUGUUUCUGGCUGUGAAUAAAUUUUCUUGGUGGUUGUUUCUUUAA